Plutella xylostella (diamondback moth) is the source of this 268-nucleotide non-coding RNA. NCBI's taxonomy places the organism in Eukaryota, Metazoa, Arthropoda, Insecta, Lepidoptera, Plutellidae. The record is from RefSeq and is a predicted model, not a curated record.
UUGGGGUUAGUAUUUUGCAUGUUUUGUUUGAUAAUUUGUUUACAGUUUAGUGGAAACUAUGGUCACGAUCGGUGUUAUUGUUGGUUGUUAAAAUAUUGUGAGUGCUCUAUACGCAAAUGAAUAUUCAAGAUGUUAUAUUCUAAAAGAUAUUAGUGGAUGCAGAUAAGAGUGUUUAGUGAGUGCUAUGUUUGAAUAUUGCAAGUGAAAACACAGCCUAUCGAUGUAAUGCGCCGAUAAACUAUCAUGACUGCAUUGAUGUAAUGCGCUA